AGUGAGCGCUGGCGGUAGGCCUAACACAUGCAAGUCGAACGGCAGCACAGUAAGAGCUUGCUCUUACGGGUGGCGAGUGGCGGACGGGUGAGGAAUACAUCGGAAUCUACUUUUUCGUGGGGGAUAACGUAGGGAAACUUACGCUAAUACCGCAUACGACCUACGGGUGAAAGCAGGGGAUCUUCGGACCUUGCGCGAUUGAAUGAGCCGAUGUCGGAUUAGCUAGUUGGCGGGGUAAAGGCCCACCAAGGCGACGAUCCGUAGCUGGUCUGAGAGGAUGAUCAGCCACACUGGAACUGAGACACGGUCCAGACCCCUACGGGAGGCAGCAGUGGGGAAUAUUGGACAAUGGGCGCAAGCCUGAUCCAGCCAUACCGCGUGGGUGAAGAAGGCCUUCGGGUUGUAAAGCCCUUUUGUUGGGAAAGAAAAGCAGCAGGUUAAUACCCCGCUGUUCUGACGGUACCCAAAGAAUAAGCACCGGCCAACUUCGUG
This 492-nucleotide ribosomal RNA is filed under the name uncultured bacterium. Its description in RNAcentral is "partial 16S ribosomal RNA". It matches the Rfam family "Bacterial small subunit ribosomal RNA", at positions 29 to 507 of the family's 1533-position model. The record is from RNAcentral.